UCCCAGGAGGACUAGUGGUUAGGCCACGGUGCUCUCACCGCUGUGGCCAAGGUUUGAUUCCUGGCCAGGGGU
This is a non-coding RNA of Pangasius djambal, 72 nucleotides long. Lineage: Eukaryota; Metazoa; Chordata; Actinopteri; Siluriformes; Pangasiidae. The record is from the annotation of a GenBank genome assembly.